This 253-nucleotide ribosomal RNA is filed under the name uncultured bacterium. Its description in RNAcentral is "partial 16S ribosomal RNA". It matches the Rfam family "Bacterial small subunit ribosomal RNA", at positions 524 to 776 of the family's 1533-position model. The record is from RNAcentral.
GACGAACCGUCCGAACGUUAUUCGGAAUUACUGGGCUUAAAGGGCGCGUAGGUGGCGCAACAAGUCAGUGGUGAAAGCUCGACGCUCAACGUCGAGUCGGCCACUGAGACUGUUGGGCUUGAGCACUGUAGAGGCUAAUGGAAUUCCGGGUGUAGCGGUGGAAUGCGUAGAGAUCCGGAAGAACACCGGUGGCGAAGGCGGUUAGCUGGGCAGUUGCUGACACUGAGGCGCGACAGCGUGGGGAGCAAACAGG